RNAcentral lists this ribosomal RNA (253 nucleotides) under uncultured bacterium. Its description in RNAcentral is "partial 16S ribosomal RNA". It matches the Rfam family "Bacterial small subunit ribosomal RNA", at positions 524 to 776 of the family's 1533-position model. The record is from RNAcentral.
UACAGAGACUGCAAGCGUUAUUCGGAUUCACUGGGCGUAAAGGGUGCGCAGGCGGCCGUGUGUGUGAGGCGUGAAAGCCCGGGGCUCAACCCCGGAAUUGCACCUCAAACUACAUGGCUAGAGCAUUGGAGAGGGUAGCGGAAUUCACGGUGUAGCAGUGAAAUGCGUAGAUAUCAGGAAGAACACCCGUGGCUAAGGCGGCUCUCUAGUACGGUACUGACGCUGAGACGCGAAAGCGUGGGGAGCAAACAGG